This 465-nucleotide ribosomal RNA is filed under the name uncultured bacterium. RNAcentral's name for it is "partial 16S ribosomal RNA". It matches the Rfam family "Bacterial small subunit ribosomal RNA", at positions 338 to 795 of the family's 1533-position model. The record is from RNAcentral.
CCUACGGGAGGCAGCAGUAGGGAAUUUUCCACAAUGGGCGCAAGCCUGAUGGAGCAACACCGCGUGAGUGAAGAAGGGUUUCGGCUCGUAAAGCUCUGUUGUUGGAGAAGAACGUGCGUGAGAGUAACUGUUCACGCAGUGACGGUAUCCAACCAGAAAGUCACGGCUAACUACGUGCCAGCAGCCGCGGUAAUACGUAGGUGGCAAGCGUUAUCCGGAUUUAUUGGGCGUAAAGCGAGCGCAGGCGGUUGCUUAGGUCUGAUGUGAAAGCCUUCGGCUUAACCGAAGAAGUGCAUCGGAAACCGGGCAACUUGAGUGCAGAAGAGGACAGUGGAACUCCAUGUGUAGCGGUGGAAUGCGUAGAUAUAUGGAAGAACACCAGUGGCGAAGGCGGCUGUCUGGUCUGCAACUGACGCUGAGGCUCGAAAGCAUGGGUAGCGAACAGGAUUAGAUACCCGAGUAGUC